RNAcentral lists this long non-coding RNA (1749 nucleotides) under Marmota monax (woodchuck). Lineage: Eukaryota; Metazoa; Chordata; Mammalia; Rodentia; Sciuridae. The record is from RNAcentral.
GUGUUUUAACAGGGGCUGUCUGUGGGUGUCUAGAAGAUCUGAGGCCUGAGGCCCUGUGGCAGUGGGAGCUGGCUCCUACCUUGGGGUUCUUUGGUGGGUCCUAUUAAAUGCUGUCAGAAUUAUAGGAAAGUACAGGUGAUAGCAGUAGAACAAAAGCAGCCCAAGAUGUCCCCCUGACAGUAGUACCAACAAAUUCCAUGUCACCUGGAGUCAUCAUAUAUGGCUCUUGGUAACCCAAAGACUCACAAUGCACUUGCAAGGUAGCAAGAGGCCUGAGGGCUCUUUGAUCAAGCUGCAUGUUCCCCGGCAUCUUACUGCCUGUAGGCCUUCCAGGCCUUCUUUAAAGUCAAAGAGUUGGUCUUUAGGAGACUUUCCAGCUCUAAAAACCAACUUCUGGGGGCUGGGGUUGUGGCUCAAAGGAAAAGUGCUUGCCUAGCAUGCGCAAGGCACUGAGUUCGAUCUUCAGUACCACAUAAAAAUUAAAUAAAGGUAUUAUGUCCACCUACAAUUAAAGAAUAAAUGUUUAAAAAAAAAUAAAAAACAACUGCUGUUUUAAAAAAAUCUGCCUCCCUUGAUUUAGUUUAAUUUAAUGGCUUCCCUUUGAUCUUAGGAUAAAGACCAAAAUCUUGUCAUAGCCAAAAAGAAGGGACUAGCAUCCUCUGGCAUGCUAGUCCCAUUUGUCUCCCCAGACUCCUCCAUGACACCUUCCUCCUGGUUGUCUCUGCUCUAGCUUCUUCCAGAUCCUCUGCUGGAACUAGUUUGAAACUAGUAGUUCUACCCCAGAGUAUAAACAUCGAAGAAAUUUUCAUAUGGUGCCUAAAUGAGUAUGCAAAUCAACGUUUCCUGCAGUGGAGGCAUCUGCAAGCCCAUUGCUCUGGUAAGCGAGGUGUUCAGGGACAUACUGUGGAGCACUUGCAGCCCUUAGGAGCAAAGGAUCAAAGUUCUAUGGAAGGAGCUUAGGAGCACUCAGUACUGAGUGACAGCAAUGAGAUUUCAUACCAUGCACAUGAUUUUCAAUUUGCAAUGGAGUUAUGAUGGGCCCACAAAAUCCACUGUAAGUUGAAAACAUGGAAAGUAGAAAUGGAUUUAAUGAAUCUAUUCUACUAAACAUCAAGCCUGGCAACACUGCAGACUCUCAGUUGUUUACUCUUGUGAUCUUGAGGCUGACUGGGAGCUGUGGCUUGUUGCUGCCACCCAGCAUUGCAUUAUAAUGAAUAUCACACUGUGUAUUGCUAGCACAGGUCAAGAUCAAAAUUCAAAAUGUGAAGUUUGGUUUCUACUGAGUGCAUAUUUCUUCUGCAUCAUCUCAGGUCAAAAAAACUGUAAGUUCCAUGACUGUAAGUCAGGGACCCUGUAUUCAAUACACACACUUAAAAAUAUAAGACAAAAACCAUUGCCACCCAUCCUGUAAGAGCACAGAGAAACAAAAAUGCACAUUCAACACGUGAAGUAUGCAGAGAAGGGCAUAGCAGUGGCAGAUAAACAGGAUAAAUAAGGGAGGGAAACCCAAGCGGUGAACCACUGAAGAUGCACAGAGUACCACACACAAGACUUGGGCCAACAAUGCUCAGAAAGCUCUCAAUAAACCCCUCCCCCUCCCCAAGGAAACCCGAAACAAAGCCAGUGAGUUGGAAGUUGGGCCAAUGUCCAAAGGGAAAGAAAGAACAGAAGCUGAAGGCCUUUCAUCCUGUCUGAACCAGGAACUGGGAGAGCUGGAGAGAGGCCCGGGCUGCUUGGGAAUCAACACUC